Molecule: long non-coding RNA, 652 nt
Organism: Capsella rubella
Lineage: Eukaryota; Viridiplantae; Streptophyta; Magnoliopsida; Brassicales; Brassicaceae
Exons: 2
Source: RefSeq, a predicted model, not a curated record
UACUCGAUCUACUUUCUCGAUUUGCUUUUCUCUGGAUCUCAUCUCUCUGGAUCUGCUCUCUCUCCAUCAUCUCUCUGGAUCUGCUCUCUCUCAUCAUCUCUCUGGAUCUGCUCUCUCUAGCGUGGUCGUUGGUGGUAGAGCAUUUGUCGCCGUCGUCAGUUAUGGAUUGUUGAAUCCAUUAUUCAGUUUGGAAUCUUCAUAAAGAUUAUCACGGUUUUCGUAAUGGAUUGUGGUGUUGUUGGUGGGACUAAAGGCGACUAUAAAGCUUAUGAGGAAUAUAGCUUUGUGUCCUACUGUUAAAGAAGUUGUUAUCUGUGAAGGAUCAAUCUCUUGUUUGGUUAUAAUGUUGAGGUGGGCGAUUUCAGGUGUGAGAAUUGCAGCUGGAAAAAUGUUGGUGGUGUUUGCUUGCAUUUGUAAAAGGUUGUGGUGUUGAGCUGUAGUGGUGCUUGUUCUCAUCCACGUUCUUGGCUUUAUUAUUAUAUAGUUGUCUUCCUUGUUUCCUUACUAUAUGUAGAUUCAUAUGUAUGUGGUUAAGAUCUUGGUAAAUAAUAUUAUGAUCAUGAUGCUACACGUAAAAUACAAAGCAAUAAGGUCUUACAAACUUUGAAAACCUAUGGAAAUAAUGUUAAAGUAUUUAAAAGGUCUUACAAGA